This is a long non-coding RNA of Hydra vulgaris (swiftwater hydra), 1822 nucleotides long. RefSeq lists it as uncharacterized. NCBI's taxonomy places the organism in Eukaryota, Metazoa, Cnidaria, Hydrozoa, Anthoathecata, Hydridae. The record is from RefSeq and is a predicted model, not a curated record.
AAUCAAUUGCAAUAUUUUUCCCUUAUAACAACUUUUUACAACUAUUUAACCUUAGGACCAUCUUCAUCUGGUAUUAUUAGUAAGUUUUAAAAUUUUACUCUCUGUUUGUGUAUGCAAUUUUUAUCAAUUCCUGACAAGAAAGGUAUAUGUGGCCCACAUGUGGUCAUAGUGCUUUCGUGUGAAUUUAAAAGUGGACAAAUAUAUUAUAGGUAAUGAAUGACGUAUUUGAAGAAGAUAAGUGUGGCCCACUUGUGGAACACAUAAUGCGGUUCACAUAACUAUUCCACAUAAUUUGGAAUAAUCUUUAAAUAAAUACGUGCUAAAUUUGAUAUGGCUAUCAUAUGGGCCAUAGAUAUAAAACUCACGAUCUUGCCUUAUUUUGAAUUUUAAAUUUUAACCAAUUGUAGUAAUUCUAUCGCAAUGCAUUGUAAACUCUAGAAUAUUCCAUGAUAUCAUGUGGCUUACCGUUUUGAUAAUUUUCAAUUCAUAACUGUUGUAAGUAUGUUUGAGCGAUAAAAGUAAAUAUUUAUAAAUGAAAAAGUGUAAAUAUAUAAAAUAAAAAAUAAAAGCCUAGAAGUGUUAGGACCUUUACUUUUUGUAAUAUACAAUUUGUUAUCAUUACUAAACUAUGUUUUUUUUAAUGUGAUUUUAUGUGUGGUUUAGAUUAUACAACGGAAUAUUGUUAAAAGAAUAAUAUUUAAAACUAUAUUAUUUAUAUACAGGGCUUUAUCAACGGGGAGGGGGGGUAAUGUGCUCCCUCCCUGACAAGAAAGGUAUAUGUGGGCCACUCUUCAGCCAGCUUUCAUUUCUUUAAGCUUAUAAAGUGAUUUUAUUAAAAACAAGCGUAAACAAGUUAAUGAAAAAAAUUUUAAAUAAUUAUUUUAACUGUAAAAACGAAAAUAUUUAUUUAAACAUGGGCUUACACUUAUUGAUUAGAAUCAGCAAAUAUAAGUUUUUAUUUUCUUAAAUUAGAUAAAAUUUUACUAGGUUUUAAUAAUUAAUAUAAAAUUAUUUUAGACAUCAACACCUACUAGCCAACCAUUACUGCCAAUACCACGCCAUGUUGUAAGUAAUAAACAUGUUGCUUAAUAGCAAUACUUUAAGUUAAAAUUUGUUAAAGUUAUUAUUAGAUAUUAAAAUUUGAUCAAUGAUUAGAAUGUUUUUCGAGAGAUCCAACACCAAGGCAAAUCUACUCAAAACUUCGUGUCAUUACCAAAUGAUCCUGAAGAAAUAAAUUUACCUUCAGAGUUCUUGCCAAUCCCUCACACCGAAAACUCCACUCACACCAUUACACCAAUCACACAGUUAGUUGAAUACCGAUUGUCUUCCAUCGAAAACCUACUUAACGAUUUAGUAAAAUCUGUAACUUAUGCGACAAAAGAGAUUAAACAUCUGACAGAGCGUAAGCCAAUUGGUCAUACUGAAGAAAGUUUAUUCAAGAAAUCAAGUAACAUAAAAGAGUUAGAUGCUGUGUUGUUGCAAUAAGGUGGAAAAAUAUAUCUGAUAUGGUACAAAACAUUUUGAAUCUUUUCAUGACUGAUGAGUUACAAAUGAAUUGUUGUCGUUCUGGGAAACGCUCAAACAAAUAUUCAAUUGAGGCUUUUGUAAAGUUUAUUGCAAGUAAGUAAAGUAUUCCAUUAGCUCCUGUUCAAAGGCUUUGCAAAAAUGCUACAGACAAAGAUGUCAAUGAAGCCAUCACCGCUGCACGGCAUAACUCAGCAGAUCGUGGUAAUAGACGUAUGCAUCGAGAAAAUAAUGAAUAAAUAAAUUUAAUGGAAAGUUAUUGUAUACUUAUAUGUUUGUAAAUGAAUUUAUAAAAAAA